This 254-nucleotide ribosomal RNA is filed under the name uncultured prokaryote. RNAcentral's name for it is "partial 16S ribosomal RNA". It matches the Rfam family "Bacterial small subunit ribosomal RNA", at positions 524 to 776 of the family's 1533-position model. The record is from RNAcentral.
UACAGAGGGUGCAAGCGUUAAUCGGAAUUACUGGGCGUAAAGCGCGCGUAGGCGGUCUUGUAAGUCGGGUGUGAAAGCCCCGGGCUCAACCUGGGAACUGCAUUCGAGACUGCAAGACUGGAGUAUUGGAGAGGGCAGCGGAAUUUCCGGUGUAGCGGUGAAAUGCGUAGAUAUUGGGAGGAACACCAGAUGCGAAGGCGGGUCACUGGGCUGAUACUGACGCUGAUAUUGCGAAAGCCAGGGGAGCGAACGGG